RNAcentral lists this ribosomal RNA (433 nucleotides) under uncultured bacterium. Its description in RNAcentral is "partial 16S ribosomal RNA". It matches the Rfam family "Bacterial small subunit ribosomal RNA", at positions 29 to 507 of the family's 1533-position model. The record is from RNAcentral.
AACGAACGCUGGCGGCAUGCCUAACACAUGCAAGUCGAACGAGACCUUCGGGUCUAGUGGCGCACGGGUGCGUAACGCGUGGGAACCUGCCCUUAGGUUCGGAAUAACUCCCCGAAAGGGGUGCUAAUACCGGAUAAUGUCUUCGGACCAAAGAUUUAUCGCCUUUGGAUGGGCCCGCGUUGGAUUAGCUAGUUGGUAGGGUAAAAGCCUACCAAGGCGACGAUCCAUAGCUGGGCUGAGAGGAUGAUCAGCCACACUGGGACUGAGACACGGCCCAGACUCCUACGGGAGGCAGCAGUGGGGAAUAUUGGACAAUGGGCGAAAGCCUGAUCCAGCAAUGCCGCGUGAGUGAUGAAGGCCUUAGGGUUGUAAAGCUCUUUUACCCGGGAUGAUAAUGACAGUACCGGGAGAAUAAGCACCGGCUAACUCCGUG